Molecule: ribosomal RNA, 376 nt
Filed under: uncultured bacterium
Lineage: Bacteria
Description: bacterial SSU rRNA
Rfam family: Bacterial small subunit ribosomal RNA
Source: RNAcentral
UACGUAGGGGGCGAGCGUUGUCCGGAAUGACUGGGCGUAAAGGGCGUGUAGGCGGCCGAUUAAGUCUGGAGUGAAAAUCCUGCUUUCAAGGUGGGAAUUGCUUUGGAGACUGGUUGGUUUGAGUGCGGAAGAGGUAAGUGGAAUUCCCAGUGUAGCGGUGAAAUGCGUAGAGAUUGGGAGGAACACCAGUGGCGAAGGCGACUUACUGGGCCGUAACUGACGCUGAGGCGCGAAAGCGUGGGGAGCGAACAGGAUUAGAUACCCUGGUAGUCCACGCGGUAAACGAUGAAUGCUAGGUGUAGCGGGUAUCGACCCCUGCUGUGCCGCAGUAAACACAAUAAGCAUUCCGCCUGGGGAGUACGGCCGCAAGGUUGAA